This is a small nuclear RNA of Oncorhynchus kisutch (coho salmon), 191 nucleotides long. Its record names the gene U2. It matches the Rfam family "U2 spliceosomal RNA". Rfam says of the family: U2 is a small nuclear RNA (snRNA) component of the spliceosome (involved in pre-mRNA splicing). Complementary binding between U2 snRNA (in an area lying towards the 5' end but 3' to hairpin I) and the branchpoint sequence (BPS) of the intron results the bulging out of an unpaired adenosine, on the BPS, which initiates a nucleophilic attack at the intronic 5' splice site, thus starting the first of two transesterification reactions that mediate splicing. NCBI's taxonomy places the organism in Eukaryota, Metazoa, Chordata, Actinopteri, Salmoniformes, Salmonidae. The record is from Ensembl.
AUCGCUUCUCGGCCUUUUGGCUCAGAUCAAGUGUAGUAUCUGUUCUUAUCAGUUUAAUAUCUGAUACGUCCCCCAUAGGGGGACUACAUAUUAAAUGGAUUUUUCGAACAGGGAGUCGGAAAUGGGGCUUGCUCCGUCCGCUCCACGCAUCGACCCGGUAUUGCAGUACCUCCGGGAACGGUGCAAACACU